Long non-coding RNA from Brassica napus (rape), 425 nucleotides. RefSeq lists it as uncharacterized. The record is from RefSeq and is a predicted model, not a curated record. The transcript is spliced from 2 exons. Lineage: Eukaryota; Viridiplantae; Streptophyta; Magnoliopsida; Brassicales; Brassicaceae.
AUUAAUUAAUUAAAUAAUUAAUUUUUGACCAGCGGGUUGACUUUUCCGUAAAUACCCGUUUUAAACCGUUCGAAAGGCGUUCUGACUCGAAAUUUCGAUCUGAUUUCAGAUUUGGAGUCCAUUUGAGCAGCUGGAAUUCAUAGAUACCACUUCUUAUUGUUGCUAAGGUGAGACCGACGAGCAGGAGUGAUUAUCGGACCGGUGCUAUUGGGCUUUUGGGCUUCUAUCGCUUUUACCGCUUUUAUCUUUAUCGGGCCUUUAGGCCUUUGGACUUUUAUCGUUUAUGUUAUUCCUAUUUCAGAUUUUCGGUUUAUGUCGUAUUUUAUAUUUCGGAUGUUAUUGAUGUUGGGCUUUUAGGCCUUUUGAUACCGUAUUGACUUUUAUAUUAUGAUAUGAAGAUUAUUAUUAUUUGAGUUGUGUUAUUA